UUUUUUUUUUUUUUUUUUUUUUUUUUUUUUUUGUCAGGGCAAGGAUUUAUUUGUCUUGUAGGGCCAUUUGCAGGGAAAGAGGUAGGUCCUGUUCUGGAUUCACACAGAUUAUUAUCAGUGAAAUGUAGCUUUGUAGCAACAGGGCUAGUUAGACAUCUUGAUGGAAAUACACUGCUAUGGGGUUUGGGUAAUGGUUUUAAUCAGGAUUUUGAGAGUUUUCAUAUUUCUUCAUAUAGAUAAGAAACAUAUACAAGAAGUCAGACUUUAGUAUGUAGUUCCAGACUGCAUUUAGGGAAAAGUCAUGGGAAGAACAAAAGCCCAGCAUACAUCUCUCAGUAAAUCACCCUGGGGCGAGACCCUCACAAGAGGUGGUUUUUUUCAGAGCAAAAUUCCUUUUGAGAUAUAAAACCUGAAGCUUGUUACAGAUUGGCACAAGAGCAUUUCACUUCCUUCCUGCAGGUGGACUCAGAAUUAUGAUCAAGAGGAUUUUUUUGUUUAAAAUUGCCAUUUCAAGAAAUCCAAAGCUUUCCAAGCACACACAGCUUAGUGCUGAUGCUCCAGGUUGAAACAGGACGCUGAGCUCCACAAGCAGUUCUUCUGUACUUCCAUGACCUCACCUCCCACCGUGUGUCGCAGGCACUGCUUCGUUAUUUCAGGAUGAUUGUGAUGUGUGAAGGGAGGCUGUGGCUUGGGUGACAGAGGGUCUUCUGUCAGACCAAAGGGAUAUUCCAGACCAAAUUAUAUCAGUAUGUAAAAUGAGGGUGAAAAAAUGGGGAAACAUUUGGAGUGAUACCGUUUGUCUUCCCAAGAAACUGUUACACCUGAUGGGGCCCUGCUCUCCUGGAGAUGUCCAAACACCUGCCUGCCCAUAGGAAGCAGUGAAUUAAUUCCUUGUUUUACCUUGCUUGUGUGAGCAGCUUUUGCUUUCCCUAUUCAACUGCCUUUAUCUCCACCCAUGGGUUUCCAGCUUUUACCCUUCUGAUUCUCUGCCUAGAGAGAAUUGUUCCUGCUGGGGGAAAAUGAGGGAGUGGCGGUGUGGGGCUUGGUUGCUGUCUGGGGUUAAACCACGACCUGGGUUAGUGGGAGCCCUGCAACAGCUUUUCAAGACAGACUUGAAAAAAUUCCAAAAUAUUUUACAAGGUGAAUAAGUAACUGCAGAGGAGUGGUGGGAUUUUUUUAUUUUUCAAAAACCUUCCAACUGACAGAAUUCUUCAUGUAAUUAAGGACUGCAUAUUCACUACCGUUUAUCUUCUUUUUUUUCCCCACUGCUGCCUAUAUGUUGAUUUUGUUAAGGGCUUCUUUUUCUGGUUGAGGGAAAACUGAGGCUUUUUUCUGUCUUUUGUGUAUACACAUCUUUUACAUUGUCUUGAAAAACUGUAGCUGUUGUGAGCAUAUUUAAUGGCUCUUCCCAAAGACAUCUGGCAGGUUAGAAAGCAGAUCCAAUACUCUUAUGUUAUUAACUGCUGCAGAAGGUAGCACAGGGGAAGUGACAGCAAAAAGGGAAUUACUUUCCUAGUUACCAAUGAGCAGGGGUGAAAGAUGGGAUUUAUAGAAAUCCAUUGAAAAUUUCAGACUCUUUCUACAACAGAAUUUAAGCUCUGCUCCUAACCCUCCCAAGGAACAAAACUCUCGAGAUAACUUUUCACAUGAUCAUGAUUAACUGUAGUCUUUGCCACAUUACAGAAAUGGCUUUUUUUUGGUUAAUGCUGCAUUUGCAAACUCCUGGGAAAAAGCUGUGAUGCACACAGGGUGUCAAGGGCUGCAUGAGCUAAUAUGAGUACCUGCUGUGACUUAGUCUUACUGCUCAGGUGUUUUUGUGGCUCCAUGGGUAGCAUCUGUCUGAGGGAGUGAUUCCAGACUGCCAUUGGGUUCCACUGCACCCUGGUUUUGAGAAUAGUAAUGAGAGCAACCAAGGUGGGUUUUUCUUCUUCCUUCUCAUUUUUUUGAAUGAGGCCUGCUGUGUUUUCGCAGAUUGUAUUGUCAUUAUUAAGUGUUUAGGAGCCUUAACUUUUAACAUCAGACAACUUGGCACCCGCUUUGAAAAGAAACAUGUUAUUCUAAAGCAGAAAAUGAGAUUAGAAAUUUGCUUUUGCAGAUAGAAACCAAGUCCUGUCAGCUCAUCUAAUCCAGUUCCUUGGCAGUGAUGCAGGCCAGCUUUCUGCACGGCAUUCCUGCACGACUGCCUCUGCCAGACGUUCCCGUCUGGGCUGCUGCGCUCCCAGUGCGGCUCACGGAGCGAGCGCGGGGCCUGCGAUGGAUCUGUGAACAGGCUGGCACGCUGGGCUGUGUCACACCCCGCUCUGACAGGGAAAAGCAUCCUACACGAGUUCACUUGGGAAAGGUCAUCCUCUAGUUCAGUGUCCCUUUUACAAAACAGCCUGAGAGAGAAGUGAAGGGCUUUUUUUGGUUUGUUUUUAUAAAGUGUGUUCAGCUUGCUAAUACAGCAGGCAUGCAGAACAUAAGCUACCCAACCAACUAUGAAACAAAUGCUAGAAUUAAUUGCUUAGAUCUCUUUGCAUUAGGGUAAAGCACAGGUUUUAAGAUGUCUUCAGUGAA
This 2556-nucleotide long non-coding RNA is filed under the name Taeniopygia guttata (zebra finch). RNAcentral describes it as "lncRNA (ENSTGUG00000026824.1)". Lineage: Eukaryota; Metazoa; Chordata; Aves; Passeriformes; Estrildidae. The record is from RNAcentral.